AUGUUUCAUAGAAAAGAAUUAAAAAUAGAUUGUAAUAAGUUAAAAAUGUAUAUAACUUUUUUAAAUAAUUUAUUAAAAGAAACUAAUAACUGUUAUUUGUUGUUUAAAAUUUUUAAUUAUAAUUUUAAUAAUUAUAUAUUUAUUAUAUAUGAACUGAUUUUGUUAUUACAAAAAAUAUAUAUUUAUGAUAAUAUUAAUUUUCAUUUUUAUUUAUAUGACAACAUUAUAUAUUCAGCUGAUAUAAAUUCAUGUUAUUAUUAUAAUUUAUAUUCUUUAAGAUGCUUCCAAAUAUUAUAUAGUGAAUAUUACUUAGAAAAUAAUAAUAAAAUAAAUGUGAAUAAUGAAACGGAGUUGAUAAAUCAUACAUAUGAACAGUACAUAUUACUUAUAAAUAAAAUACGAAAAAAAAAUAUAUAUUAUGUUGGCUAUUUGAAUUACCCAUUCAAUUUCUCAGAUAAACAUAUUGUUUAUAAAAAUAAAGAUAAACAAUAUUAUAUAAAUGAAAAAAAUGAAUUUGUUUUUACAAGUACUAAUAAAAAGUUUAGCUCUUUUUUAUUUUCUCAUACGAAAAAUGAACUAAUAAAAAAAAGUUUAAAAAAGUUAGAAUAUUUAAGGGGGUUAAGUCAAUUGGAAGAGCAGUGUAGAGACAGUGAUAGUAGCAACUGUAGUAUUAGUAGCAACAGUAGAAACAGUAGUAAUAGUACUAAUAGUAGAAACAGUAAAAACAGUAGCAACAGUAGAAACAGUAGAAACAGUAGCAACAGUAAAAACAGUAAAAACAGUAAAAACAGUAGAAACAGUAAAAACAGUAGAAACAGUAAAAACAGUAGAAACAGUAGCAAUAGCAGCAAUAGCAGCAACAGCAGCAACAGCUACAGCAAAGCGAAAGACAAUGACUGUAAUGACUAUCUAAGUUCAUCAAUUUCAUCCAAUUACAUAAGUGGUAAUGAAUAUUACAAUGAAAAAAAAAAAAAUAAUAAUAAAAUCGAAUAUUACGAUGAAAAUAUAUUUUUAAUUAUGUAUCGAAAUAAUAAACUAAAUAACAUAAGGAAUAAUAUUGAUAAGUUAAUACUUAAAGAAAUUAAUUUUUUAUAUAAACUGCUAAACAUAAUUGAGUCGAAUGAAAGUGCUUAUAUAUUGAAUGAAAUCAUGAUAUUAUUUAUUUUGUUAGUAAAAAAUAAUAAUGAAAUAAAAAGUAUUAUAACAUAUGAAAGAAUAAUCGAAUCGAUUCUUAAAAUGAUUAAAGAAGAACAUAGUUACUUAUUUAAAAAUGUUUCUGAUUUAUUUUUUUUAUAUAAUGAUAAUAAUUUUGAGUUAUUAAAUGGAUAUAAUCAUAUAAUAAAAAUUUACUCUUAUCAAAAUGGAGUGAUAAUUAAAGGAAAUAAAAAUGACAAAAAUUUAAAAAAACAAAAAAUGAAAUCAAUUGAGCGUAAUUCAGCAACUAGUAGUUGUCUUAGUGGUAAUAGUAAUAGUAGUAGUAGUAGCAAGUAUGACACAAAUAAGCAUAUCAUAAAUAUAAAAAAAAAGUCAGGUGAGAUGGUGCAUAAAUCGGUUGAUUUACUGAGAUCGUCAUAUGGAUUUAAUAGUGACAGCAGUGCAAGUGAUAAUAGUAGUAAAACAAUGUUAAAGUAUGAAGAAUAUAUUGUUAAUUUUACUAAACAGGAUACUUCCGUUGUUACUACUACUACUACUACUACUACUACUGCUACCACUGCUACUACUACUACUACUAGCAGUACAAACAACAAAGACAGUACCAUUCUUAACAAUGAUAAAACCGUAAACGAAGAAAACAACAUCAAUGAAUAUUACUUAGAUAAUUUAUCUAUAAAUGUUGAUAUAAAAAGUGCUUUAAUACUUUUAGAAAGUUUAAUUAUAAAUAGCGAAUUUGGUAUUAAGUACAUUUACGAAUUAAAUAUAUUAAACGACUUUUUAAUUAUAUUUUUAAAUAUGUAUAAUAUAAUUAUAUACAUAUAUAAAAAUCAUAUUUUUAGUUUUUAUAGUAACAGUUUUUUUAUAUUUAAUGUUUUUCUUAAUAUUAUUUAUAACGUUUGUAAAUUUUGUUAUACAAAUAAGAGUUGUGUUAUAAGUGUGGAAAAAUUAAUAAGUUUAUUACAAAAAACAAAAUUUAUUGAAAGCUUUUUUUUUUUUCUUUUUAAGUUUAUAUAUAUAUAUGUACUAGAUAAUUUAAAUGAAAAAAAAAUACAAAAAGACAAAAAGACAAAGUUUAGAGAUAUUACUAAUAAAUCAAAAAAAGUCGUACUAAGUAACAAAACAUAUAACAUCAGUAAUAAUGGAAAUUUAAAUAAAUUAGAAGAGACUAAUACAGUGACAAAUGUACAUAAUCAAUAUAUAGAUAGAAUUGAUAAGAAUGCAUAUAAAAUGAACGUCAUAGAAAAUAAAAGUUUAUACGGGGGUAGUGGAAUAAGUGAGCACAACAAGUGGGUUAGUUCUAAUGACCACCUCGAACAAAACAACAGUCAAACCAAUCUGAAUAAUAAAGGAAAUAGUCCAAAUGACGACUCUUACAUAAACAUGAACAACAACUACAAACACGAUAUUAACAUUCUUAUAAAUACCAUUAUUAAAAAAAUUUUUAACAUAUGUGGUAAAUUUUUAUUCGAAGAUGAAAGUUAUUGUAAGAAUGUUUUAUUUAAUACUUUUGAUAAUUCAGAAGUAAAAAAUAAUGAAUCAUUUGAUGUACAUGUAAAAGAAUACAAUUUUAUAAAAGCUAGUUUUAAGGUAUAUAAUUUUUUUUUUUUCGAACAUAUUGUAGUUUAUUAUUUAAAUAAUAUAAAAAAGAUAAAAUAUAUCGAUUUGUUAUUAAUUUUUUUUUUUUUUAAUUCAAAAAGUAUUUUUCAAAACUUAAUAUAUGAAUUUUUAAUUUGUCUAUGUGAAAAACACAAACAAAUUUCGGACUAUGUAUGUUCUAUGUUAUUUAAUAAGUAUUCUGUUUUUUACUAUUGUAUUAUGAAUAGUAUUAAUAAUUUGGAAAAAAAGUCGCUCUUUAUUGAACGUUGUGUUGUUCGUAAGGAUGGUGAUGAAAACAAAAAGCAUAACAUACGCAUUGGAAGUAACACGCCUAGUGGUAGUAACAAAAGCAAGUACGCCGAUAGUAAUAACCAAAAUUGUAUUAAAACUAUCAACUUAGAUGACAUAACGAUUGAAUGUGAUAGUGAUACUAAAAUAAAUAAACAUGAACAUUUUUUUUUUAAUUAUAUGUCAGAGCUAGAAUUUAUACACAGGAUAUGCAGUUUGUGCUGUAUUAAUAACGAAACAGCAAUAGAUGACAACAAAAACGAUUAUAGUUUCAUUUUUUAUGAUUUAAAAUUUGAAAAAAUAAUUUAUUAUAAUAGUUUAUUUAUUAAUCGUUUUAUUAGUAAAAAAAGGAAAAAAAUGUUUAUAAAAAAAAGCAAUAAUUUAAAUAAAAAGUUAUUAAGUUAUAGAAUAAAUAUUUUAUUAUAUAAAAAGGAUGUACCAACAGAAAUUAAAGAUUUUCAUUUAUUAAUUAAAGUUAUUAAUAAUAAAUUCAUAAGUAACAAAAUAAAAUGUCUAAUAUGUGUUUAUAUUAGUAUUUAUUUAUUUAAAUCUACUAAUGAAACAUUCAAAAAAAAAAUAAUUAAAAAUUGUUUAAAAUUAGAUAUGUUUAAUGUUUUAUACAAAUAUAUGGACAUGUUUUGUAAAUAUAAUUUUAAUUUAAAAUAUUUCCAUUUUCAUUUUUUUCAAAAAAAAAAAAAUGUCAAUGAAAAUAUAAAACACAUACAACAAAUAAAUAAAAAAAACAAAUUUCUAUUUCCAUACUCCAACGAAAAAUCAUUAUAUUUUAUACAGUAUAUUUAUUCUAAUUAUAUUCAUCAAGAUAUGUUAGAAUAUGUUUUUAAGCAAACUAACAAUUAUAUAUAUGAUAAGAAGAAGGGGAAAAGGGAUAAUAAAGGUAAUAAAAUUGAUAAAGGUAAUAAAAGUAAUAAAGGUAAUAAAAGUAAUAAAGGUAAUAAAAGUAAUAAAGGUAAUAAAAGUGAUAAAGACAUUAGUAUAGAGUUAACGUUUACUGAUGAUCAAUGUAUUGAUAAUACCAGUGACAGUUUUGAAAACAAAUCGGAAGGGGAAGAUUCAGAUGAUGGUGUUGAGUAUGAAGAUAAACCGGUAGUAAGCCAGAUUAAAAAAAAUGGCAAAAUAAUAAAACGUGGUAAGACCUGUGAUAAAAAACACAAGAAAAAGAAAAAAAAUAAUAACAACCAUAACGGUAGUACUAUUAAUAGUAAUGGUGAUACAAUUAGUGUUAGUGACAGCAAUAGCGACAGUAAUAAUAUGUGCAAAACUAACCGUGAGCGUACAAACACAAAAAGAUAUCAUAAAAAAUCAAAGAAAAGUAAAAAAAAAAAUCGACUAAAAAUGAUUAACAAUAAUUUAAACAGUUUACGUGAAAAAAUAAACGAACAAGAAAUAAAAUAUUUAGAAGAAAAACUUUAUUUAAAUAAAAUUAUUGAAAAAAAAAAUGAUAUUAUAAAUAAUGUUUUAUAUUCUUAUUUAUUGCUAAAGGAAAAAUAUGAAAAAGUCGAAGAAGAAAAUCGAAACGUGAAAAAUAUAUUAAAUUCAUUAAAAAAAAAGUAUGAAUUAGUAAUGAUUAAAGAUAUGAAUAAAAUACAAAAUGAUUAUAUACAUAUGAUGGAAACACUUGAUAAAACAAAUUAUGAAAAAUCUGUUGCUGAACAAAAAUUAGAAAAGUGUUCUGACUUGUUAAUAUUUUUACAUGAUAAUGUACAAAGUUGUCGUGCGUAUAUGCAAAAUAUUGAAAACAUGAACAUUUUUAAAAAUGAAAAAUUAAAAGAUGAACAAAACAUUGAUAAUACAAACAAAAUGAGUCAAAUGGAUGGUGGUCAAAUGGAUGGUGGUCAAAUGGAUGGUGGUCAAAUGGAUGGUGGUCAAAUGGAUGGUGGUCAAAUGGAUAGUGGUCAAAUGGAUAGUGGUCAUAUGGAUAGUGGUCAUAUGGAUAGUAGUCAUAUGGAUAGUAGUCAAAUGGUCAGUAACCAAAUGGAUAGUAACCAAAUGGAUAGUAACCAAAUGGAUAGUAACCAAAUGGAUAGUAACCAAAUGGAUAGUAACCAAAUGGAUAGUAGCCAAAUGGAUAGUAGCCAAAUGGAUAGUAGCCAAAUGGAUAAUGGUCAUGUUAAACCUACGGAACAAACAAAGACCUUAGAUGAAGCAGAAUGCUUAACACAAACAAAGCAUCCCGAUCAGUCUUACAUUUAUGAUCAAAUCUAAACAAAUAAAGAAAAAAACGUUAGUACA
RNAcentral lists this long non-coding RNA (5289 nucleotides) under Piliocolobus tephrosceles (Ugandan red Colobus). RNAcentral describes it as "lncRNA (ENSPTEG00000004708.1)". Lineage: Eukaryota; Metazoa; Chordata; Mammalia; Primates; Cercopithecidae. The record is from RNAcentral.